Molecule: ribosomal RNA, 500 nt
Filed under: uncultured bacterium
Lineage: Bacteria
Description: partial 16S ribosomal RNA
Rfam family: Bacterial small subunit ribosomal RNA
Source: RNAcentral
AUUGAACGCUGGCGGCAUGCCUUACACAUGCAAGUCGAACGGCAGCACGGGAGCAAUCCUGGUGGCGAGUGGCGAACGGGUGAGUAAAGUAUCGGAACGUGCCCAGUCGUGGGGGAUAACGUAGCGAAAGUUACGCUAAUACCGCGUACGAUCUAUGGAUGAAAGCGGGGGAUCGCAAGACCUCGCGCGAUUGGAGCGGCCGAUAUCAGAUUAGGUAGUUGGUGGGGUAAAGGCUCACCAAGCCGACGAUCUGUAGCCGGUCUGAGAGGACGACCAGCCACACUGGGACUGAGACACGGCCCAGACUCCUACGGGAGGCAGCAGUGGGGAAUUUUGGACAAUGGGCGCAAGCCUGAUCCAGCCAUGCCGCGUGCAGGAUGAAGGCCUUCGGGUUGUAAACUGCUUUUGUACGGAACGAAAAGGUUUGACUUAAUACGUUGGACUCAUGACGGUACCGUAAGAAUAAGCACCGGCUAACUACGUGCCAGCAGCCGCGGUAA